GCUUGUCUCAAAGAUUAAGCCAUGCAUGUCUAAGUAUAAACAACUUUAUACUGUGAAACUGCGUACAGCUCAUUAUAUCAGUUAUAAUUUAUUUGAUGGUGAUUUACUACAUGGAUAACCGUGGUAAUUCUAGAGCUAAUACAUGCGUAAGAUCCUGACUAACGAAGGGACGUAUUUAUUAGAUAAAAAACCAAUGCCCUUCGGGGCUCCUUGGUGAAUCAUAAUAACUUAACGAAUCGCAUGGCCUUGCGCCGGCGAUGGUUCAUUCAAAUUUCUGCCCUAUCAACUUUCGAUGGUAGGAUAGUGGCCUACCAUGGUAUCAACGGGUAACGGGGAAUUAGGGUUCGACUCCGGAGAGGGAGCCUGAGAAACGGCUACCACAUCCAAGGAAGGCAGCAGG
RNAcentral lists this ribosomal RNA (400 nucleotides) under Cladosporium bruhnei. Its description in RNAcentral is "partial small subunit ribosomal RNA". It matches the Rfam family "Eukaryotic small subunit ribosomal RNA", at positions 30 to 432 of the family's 1831-position model. Lineage: Eukaryota; Fungi; Ascomycota; Dothideomycetes; Cladosporiales; Cladosporiaceae. The record is from RNAcentral.